UGUGUUGCAUGUCCUCAUCUUGCUAAUACAAUGGGGCUUAAUAUGAAUGGAAGCCUAUACUACGGGCCUCGAGGAAGGACAAGGGUUCUCCAAAUAUAUCUAUAAUUGUGAGUUUUGAUGUUAGGUCUGAAACGUACAAAAACUCCAAUGUACCAAGCAAACUUCUACCAAUGGACACUUCU
Molecule: small RNA, 182 nt
Filed under: Arabidopsis thaliana (thale cress)
Lineage: Eukaryota; Viridiplantae; Streptophyta; Magnoliopsida; Brassicales; Brassicaceae
Description: ATSL176230
Source: RNAcentral